Molecule: ribosomal RNA, 459 nt
Filed under: uncultured bacterium
Lineage: Bacteria
Description: partial 16S ribosomal RNA
Rfam family: Bacterial small subunit ribosomal RNA
Source: RNAcentral
CCUACGGGGGGCAGCAGUGAGGAAUAUUGGUCAAUGGUCGGGAGACUGAACCAGCCAAGCCGCGUGAGGGAUGAAGGUACAGAGUAUCGUAAACCUCUUUUGUCAGGGAACAAAGGCGGGGACGCGUCCCCGGAUGAGUGUACCUGAAGAAAAAGCAUAGGCUAACUCCGUGCCAGCAGCCGCGGUAAUACGGAGGAUGAGAGCGUUAUCCGGAUUUAUUGGGUUUAAGGGGUGCGCAGGCGGUCUGUUAAGUCAGCGGUAAAAGCCCGGGGCUCAACCCCGGCCCGCCGUUGAAACUGGCAGUCUCGAGUUGGAGAGAAGUAUGCGGAAUGCGCGGUGUAGCGGUGAAAUGCAUAGAUAUCGCGCAGAACUCCGAUUGCGAAGGCAGCAUGCCGGCUCCACACUGACGCUGAGGCACGAAAGCGUGGGUAUCGAACAGGAUUAGAUACCCGAGUAGUC